Girardinichthys multiradiatus is the source of this 3772-nucleotide RNA transcript. It is a transcript of the gene named kelch-like family member 2, with no coding region annotated. The record is from RefSeq and is a predicted model, not a curated record. The transcript has 17 exons. Lineage: Eukaryota; Metazoa; Chordata; Actinopteri; Cyprinodontiformes; Goodeidae.
CUUUCUUCUCGGACGCCUUGGCUGUUUAAAAGACCGUCUUUGCCGUCUUGUACUUGUUUGUGCGUUUUAAUCAGCUAUUGGAAAAUAACAGGUAUCCUUCUACGACCCCUUCUGGAUCCCAGAAACAUUCAGGAGGACACGGACAGCAAAAAUAAACCCCAUCUGGCUUGGAGUCAGGGGAGCUACUUUCCUGACCGAAGCGGAAGAAGCAGUCCACUGUUGGCCACAGCCGCCGAGCUGCACCGAAACGUGUCCGUGGAGAGAGUCACCGCAGUGGGCUGAGUGUUUAUGUGAGCCAGGCGUCUUUAAUGGGACUGCUCUCAGCCCGCUGAGCCUUGAUUUACGCCUGGAUUCAGACCCAUAAAAGACCGAUCUUUGGAUAUGGAAUGGUGCAUACUGCUGGGCCAAGUUUUCAGCCUCUGAAAAACACCGGAAUCAUGGACAGUCAUCCGCUGUGUACUAGGCUUUGUCCACACUCACUGGACAAAGAGGAUGGAGUGGAGAGGCAGGGUCCCGUCACUUUGAACCCGCGGCACAUGAAGAAGGCGUUUAAGGUCAUGAACGAGCUGCGCAGCCAGAGCCUGUUGUGCGAUGUGACUAUAGUUGCAGAGGAUGUAGAGAUCGCUGCUCACAGGGUGGUUCUGGCUGCUGGGAGCCCUUAUUUCCACGCUAUGUUUACAGGAGAGAUGACGGAGAGCAGAGCGAAACGAGUGAGAAUAAAGGAGAUGGGCGGCUGGACCCUGGGCCUCCUGGUGGACUACAUCUACACAGCAGAGAUACAGGUCACAGAGGAUAACGUUCAGGCUCUGCUGCCUGCAGCAGGACUGCUUCAGCUCAACGAGGUGAAAAAGGCCUGCUGCGAGUUCCUCAGCUCCCAGCUCCAUCCGUCCAAUUGUCUGGGGAUAAGAGCCUUCGCCGACCUACAUGCUUGCUCCCAGCUUCUCUCACUGGCUAACAGCUAUGCAGAGCAACAUUUCACUGAGGUCGUUGGGAGUGAGGAGUUUCUGAACUUGGGAAUGGAGCAGGUGUCCAGCCUGAUUGCCAGCGACAAGCUCACCAUCCCCUCAGAGGAGAAGGUAUUUGAAGCAGUUAUCGCUUGGGUCAACCAUGACAAAGACGUCCGCCAGGAACACUUGGCCCACCUAAUGGAACACGUUCGCCUGCCGCUGCUCUCCAGAGAAUACCUGGUGCAGCGUGUAGAGGAGGAGUACCUGAUAAAGAACAGCAGUGCAUGUAAAGACUACCUGAUCGAAGCUAUGAAGUACCACCUGUUGCCAGCUGACCAGCGAGCCUUGAUGAAGACCGCUCGUACCCGAAUGAGAACUCCGGUCUCCUUCCCUAAGGUGAUGGUGGUGGUUGGAGGUCAGGCGCCUAAGGCUAUCCGUAGCGUUGAGUGUUUCGACUUUGAGGAGCAGCGAUGGUACCAAGUGGCUGAACUUCCUACGAGAAGAUGCAGAGCAGGUGUGGUGUACAUGGGUGGGUGUGUUUACGCUGUUGGUGGUUUCAACGGCUCUUUGCGUGUGCGGACGGUUGACUGUUUCGAACCGGUCAUGGAUCGCUGGACGAGCGUGAGCAGCAUGCAGGACCGGAGAUCAACGCUCGGCGCCGCUGUUCUCAAUGGACUCCUGUAUGCCGUAGGAGGCUUUGAUGGCAGCACAGGUCUUUCCACAGUAGAGGCGUACAACACCAAGACAGACGAGUGGUUCCAUGUGUUGCCCAUGAGCACCCGACGCAGCAGCGUAGGAGUCGGUGUUGUCAAUGGGAUCCUGUAUGCGGUGGGAGGUUAUGAUGGCGCCACCAGGCAGUGCCUGAGUACAGUGGAAGCUUACAAUCCUAAAAGCAACACAUGGAGCUAUAUAGCAGAGAUGGGCACAAGACGCAGUGGAGCAGGUGUGGGUGUGUUAAAAGGUUUACUGUACGCUGUGGGCGGGCAUGACGGUCCGUUGGUGAGAAAGAGCUGUGAAGUUUAUGAUCCAACCACCAACAGCUGGCGGCAGGUAGCUGACAUGAACAUGUGUCGACGCAACGCAGGUGUGUGUGCUGUAAACAACCUGCUGUAUGUGGUCGGAGGAGAUGACGGGAGCUGCAAUCUGGCCUCGGUGGAGUUCUACAAUCCAACCACUGAUAAGUGGACGCUACUGCCAACCUGCAUGAGUACAGGCCGCAGUUAUGCAGGUCAAGAAGUUACAUUUUGCUCCCAUCUGACCGGAGGUACUUCUUCCACAUGUUAGCUGUGUCCUCAGCAUGAUUUUCCCACCUAAGCUGUGGAUCUCUUCAGCUCUCUGUAGUGUCGACCUGCUGGAAGCCGAUCCUCGGUUCCAGUAUCAAGUCUUUUUCGACAUCUAGCAGGUGUGACGGUGAUUGACAAGCCCUUAUGACUGCUCUUGAUUCCUGCCACUGAUUAAAAGCGGAAAGUGUUCUGCUGAAUACUGAUCUUGGAUCUGUCUUCAAUGCCGAUGCACAGUUGGGCAGCAUUAGCACAUGCACAGACGAAGAUGUUAAAGCUGAGGAUGAUGAAGGUUCUUGCCCUUACCUUAAAUGGGGGGGAUGCGCUGCGACAGACGAGAGCGUCAAACCUGUGUUUUAUUUCGCUCGCGGCAGGACUGCAGCAGCAACGGGAUGGCCCGGUUUGAAGCACCACUGGAUCGCUGCAGUGCCAUUGAAAUGCUACUGAUAUGAAGCUGCUAUAACUGCAAAGUUAGUUUAACAUUAGUUAAUUUUAACACGAACCAGAUAUGAGAGAGACCACUUGUCUGAUCGAUGGGACAGCAGAGGAGAAAAGGACCGUUUUGGUCCAAAGUCUGUUUAUUAUUUUGUUUUAUUAUCUGAUGAGUGAGCUGGUGUGCUUGCAUAUUAAGGUGCUCCAUUGCUUGCACAUGUAAGCAUGUUUUUAUUGGCAUCAGAGAGUCUGUGUGUGGUAAGGCCUUGUUCGACGCCGCAUGAACACACUCUGUCUGACUUCUUACCCAUUACAGUGUUGCAGCGAGGCCUGAUGAGUGCCUGAAUGUCAGAGUCCACCCUCAAUUGUUUUAGCCUUGGUACCAAAAUAGAACAGAGCUGGACUCAGCCGCUAUUCUGAGAUAAAGAAACAAAUCUUCAGAAAGUUGUAUUAGCUUGUGGUGAUUCAGAAUAACAGAAUGUUAAAAAGCACUUGAUUAUGUAUGUUUUUUUUGUGGAGAUAAGAGACUUUAAUUUUGGCGGGGAGAGUUCAUCAGUCAUGUUGCCAAACACAGGGACAGAGAGAGAAGCUGUUAGUUAAACGGUUGGAUAUAUAUGUGUUAUCUUGUUAACUGGCAGCCAUAUUUGCUGUGGUUGUAAACACUAAUUAAAGCAGCAGCAACCUGAACUCAAUGCAUGGACUGUGUCUCUAACCUGUUAGCCAGUUUCCUCCCUUCUUUUGGUGUAACAACCUGUUUAUAACUACUGUACACCCUGACGUAAUAUGAAUGUGCCAAUUUUAAUGUCUCCUCUUUUCAGUCUUUUUAUCGCUCUGUGUUUCAAAUCUCUUCUCUCUUUCUGGAAAGCGACCAAACCUCUUGAGUUCCACUUUCUUCAGUCUCUUUCUGCUAUAUUCAGUCCCACUGAAAAGUAAAAUUGAUAUCGCUGUUUCUCGUCAGUGCAUUGAUGAAUGUCAUGUAGGCUUAUAACUCUGAAAAUGUUUUAUUACAUGUUUUAUAUUAUCAUUAAUAAAUAUGCUUCUUGUAUUUAAAGCUGUGAAAUUAUAUCAUCUGUUUUUAAAACUUUGCAAAAUCAGUAAAACAUUUAAAUUAAA